This 497-nucleotide ribosomal RNA is filed under the name uncultured bacterium. Its description in RNAcentral is "partial 16S ribosomal RNA". It matches the Rfam family "Bacterial small subunit ribosomal RNA", at positions 28 to 507 of the family's 1533-position model. The record is from RNAcentral.
GAUGAACGCUGGCGGCGUGCCUAAUACAUGCAAGUCGAGCGAACAGACGAGGAGCUUGCUCCUUUGACGUUAGCGGCGGACGGGUGAGUAACACGUGGGUAGCCUACCUAUAAGACUGGGAUAACUUCGGGAAACCGGAGCUAAUACCGGAUAAUAUUUCGAACCGCAUGGUUCGAUAGUGAAAGAUGGCUUUGCUAUCACUUAUAGAUGGACCUGCGCCGUAUUAGCUAGUUGGUAAGGUAACGGCUUACCAAGGCAACGAUACGUAGCCGACCUGAGAGGGUGAUCGGCCACACUGGAACUGAGACACGGUCCAGACUCCUACGGGAGGCAGCAGUAGGGAAUCUUCCGCAAUGGGCGAAAGCCUGACGGAGCAACGCCGCGUGAGUGAUGAAGGUCUUCGGAUCGUAAAACUCUGUUAUUAGGGAAGAAUAAACGUGUAAGUAACUGUGCACGUCUUGACGGUACCUAAUCAGAAAGCCACGGCUAACUACGUG